CCAUCCAUCCAGUGGGGUGCAGUCUGGGGUUUCGUCCUCCUCAGUUCCCCGAGCUUUGCUUCCUAGUUGGCUUCAGCAACAUCAAGCAGAACCAUUCCAUGAGAGCAUAUAAGGAACCUCAAACUGCUUCUUAGCUAGAACUUAAGGUGUUUCAUUUCCAUCUACGUCUUUUCUCAGAUGGCAUCUCACAGUAUAGCCCAAGUCAAAGUCAGAAACUGCUUCCAUCUGAUAAUGUUGUCUCAAUGCAAUUAGUUGAAUAUUCUGUUGGUUCUGGAGAGGAGACUCAUUAAAAAAUGUGCUUUAAUGCCAGUGGGCCCAAUUUGUUGCCUCUAAGUUGCGUUCAUCAAACUGUGGAGAGUGUUUGUCUGCCAUCUCCCUCCAAUAACAAGGAUUCUGAAAGACAGUAUGAAGACAAAUUCAAUUUUGGCUUUCUCAACUGUGCUGAUGUCAAUGACGCAGUUGAACUAUCUAUUGCAGCAUCUGAAGCACUGGUUAUACAUGAAUUAGUGAAGCGUGAGUUAGCUUCAAUGGCAUUGCCAACAGAAUCAGUACUUGAAGUUGCCCUUCAGGUGAAGCAAGCACGGUUGGACAUUUUGGAAGAGGCAUUCAAUUUCCAAACUGAGGAGAGUGACAUAUGCUAUUCUCUUUCUGACUUGGAUGAUGUUGCUAUGGCAGAUACAUUUGAAGAUGUUGGGUUAUCUUACAAUAACCCUGAUGAUCAGUGUGCUUGUGAUUCAGCUCAAUCUCAUGUCAAGGAAACUCCACUAUUUGAAAAUCGUAGCAUAUUUCACAAUGGAUUAAAUCACAUAGACGUCAGAUCUCAACAAGUAGAUUCUGAUCAUAUUUCUACACACAGACAUUUAGAAGACAAUAUGGGCGUGGAUGUGCAGUUAACAAAAGACUUAUGUCCAGGAUCUCUUGAUUGUGAAAGACACAGGAAAUGUUCUCAUGGUCCUGUUCAGGAAGAAGAUGCUCAUGCACUGUCGAAGCCGAAAAAUGCUAGAAGUGUUCCUGCGUUUUUUCUUGGCGAGACAAGCUAUCUAUCGGAAUCAGCAGAUGUUGCCCCAGAUGAAAACUCUUUUGUGCAUGAACACGAGUGCAUGUCCAAAUUUGGUUCCCCGUCAAGCAUACCUGUUGAAGGUUCACUUAAAAAGGCUCAUGAAGGGAUAUUGUUUUCUCAAGAUCUGGUUAGAUCUUCAAGUCUAUCUUUUGUCGAUCCUCUCUGUUCUGUUGUUCCUUGUAGUAUUCCUCCAGAAAAUACUAGGGAAAAAUGCUCUAGAUUCUUGAGCGAACAUGGGAUGGAGAAUUUGCAAAGGGCACUAAACCAAAAUCUAGGAACUGAUCAUGGGGAUGACCAUGCUGCAUACACAGUUAAUAUAGAAGCUUCUGGUGUAUCAACUAGAAGGCAGAUGGCCUCACUUAAGACUUAUAGCAUGCAUGUGCCUAACUCUGUAUGCUUUUUGGAAGGGGGAUGCCUUGACUAUAACCAGUCCUUUCAAUUAGAAUAUGAUCGAGGGAAGCUUUCUUCAGAUCAAAAUAUGUGCUGCUCCAUGUCUUCUGAUAAAAGGGGUUCUACCGAGUUCCUAUAUUCAAGGCCUGUUUCGAAUUAUGCUGGUGGUAGAAAUAAUGAUGACACUCAGGAAACUACUAUAAACAAUAUUUCAGUUGCAGAAAUGACAAAUCUGAAGAGAAAUUUUGAGAAAACUACCAGAGAAGAGGACGUGUCUCUGAUCCAUCCAUUGGAGAGGAGAACUUCACCUCAAAGGGCAUCCUGGCAACUGAUGUCUUCUAAGCAUUCUGUAAAGAGUUUCACCGGACAUCCUAGACAUGCUUCGGUAUCAGGAUGCAUUAUUAAGCAUCAUCAAAGCAAAAUUGUUCAAAAUAUACAAUCUAAAGGCUAUAAUUUCCAUGACAACCAUGCAAGAAAACGUGUUCAUUUCUCUGAAGCAAAGGAUCUACUCCAGCAAACCAUGAACCCCCCAAAGCAUCAAUCUUCACACCAGAACUGCCCAACUCUUAGAGCUCGUAAAGGACCAAAUUUGCCCAAAAAAUGGUCUAGAGCUUAUGGCAUGAAAAGCUGUCUCACAAAAUCUUCUCACAAGGUUAGGAAGAGAUUGAAUUUUCAAGGUAUAGAAUUCCUUGUUACUGGAUUUUCUAGUGAGAAGACAAAGGAAAUUGAAGGACUAAUAUGGAAAUAUGGUGGCAUUGUUCUCUUGGAUAUUCCUUCUCCAAAUUCAAGGGGAAAGGGAAGUGCAAGAGUUACUUGUCAGCACUCUCCUGUUAUUCUUUGUUUAAAAAAGUUAAAAACUACCAAGUUCUUGUAUGGGUGUGCAGUGAAUGCUUUAAUACUGAAAGUUGAUUGGCUUACCGAUUCAAUUGUAGCAGGUUCUAUAUUACUACCUGAGAAAUACAUGAUUCUAUCAAACCAAGUUGAUGCAAUAUGUACCGGAAGUGGAAAGCUAGUUCAUCUCAAUAGCAAUAUGUAUAUAUUUGAAAGAGUAGGGAUUAUGCUUCACGGGAAGCAUAGUUUCUGCACCAAAUUUGCAAAAAUAUUCAGGCAUGGAGGUGGCCGGGUGUUUAAAACCCUUCAGUGGUUAAUUAAGGAUCUUGACAAUAAAAAGAUUUUUAUCGGUGCUAUCAUUGCUGAGGAUGAGAGUAGAGUAUCACGUCAGUUGAAACACUGUGCGGCAGAGCGAGAAAUACUCAUGAUGAGAAAAACUACUACUUGCCUUUGCCAACAAAUAAUAUUCCAGUGGCUCCUAUUUCCAUGGGGUGGAGUGAAGCAAUAUGAACUUCGUUUCUACCACAGGUAUUGGAUACGAUUGGAACAAGUACAGAUUAACUCCAUGCUUCUCUUAGAGGUAGCUAUAAGUGCUAAUAAGAGCUUCUCCACAGAUGUUUAUGCCGGUGUUUGAUCUACUUUUCUCACUUGAAGAAACAGCUUAAAAGAGUUAAUAUUAAUAAGGUGCCGAUCUCCUGUGAAACAUCCACUACGGGUGAAGAUCAGGAAACAGUGAGAGACAACCAUUGAUAGGGCUUUGUUUAUUUUUCUGUCAAUUUUCACAGGAACAGUGGCAGAGUAGACCAGGUGCCGGAUGGCACACAAAUUAACAAGCUUCAGACUGGAAAUUGGAAAAUGUUAUCAUAUCUAUCUUGUGCUUGUUUAUUGCCAAUGGCGGCAGACGAAUUUGCGCACUACUGCUGACGUGGCAGGUGGAAUUAUUAAAAGAAAAAAUAAACAAAACAAAAACGAGGGAAACGAAAUCUCUUUCUCGGGCUUCUUUGAAUCUUUCUACCAUUUUUCUCUCUCAGCUUCUCUGCAACCAGCUCCUCCUCACGACCACCUCCUCGGCGCGACCAGCUCCCCCACGUGACCAGCUCCUCCGCGCGACCACCUCAUUCGUGCGACAACCUCCUCCUCACGACCACUUCCCGAAAAGAAGUAACAGACUUAACUUCAGAGAUUAAGGCAAGAGUGGGCGUCUCAAGCUUGUUGGAACAGAAGCUAAAUUUUAUUAGACAAACAGAGAGAUCUCAAAACUUCCACAAAUACUAGUGAGUGAGAGGGAGAAAUAGAGAGACAGAGUUCUAGAGAGAGAAAGCUAGGGAAUUUGGGGGAUCUAGAUCUCUAUGGAAGCCAUGGCAAGAGAACAUCUCGCUCUUCACCAGUGGAUCUGUCUGAGUCUAUUGCUUUUCAUCCAUGCUGCUCACUGCUUUAUCUCCCUAGUGUCGCUCACCAAGAUUUUCAAAAUGUAUGUGUUUAUAUAUGUCCGCGUGUAUGUAUAUGUGUACUUGUGCUUGAAUAUAGGGUUGGAUCUUGG
RNA transcript from Carya illinoinensis, 3821 nucleotides. RefSeq lists it as uncharacterized. The transcript is spliced from 12 exons. Lineage: Eukaryota; Viridiplantae; Streptophyta; Magnoliopsida; Fagales; Juglandaceae. The record is from RefSeq and is a predicted model, not a curated record.